Molecule: long non-coding RNA, 2637 nt
Filed under: Salvator merianae (Argentine black and white tegu)
Lineage: Eukaryota; Metazoa; Chordata; Lepidosauria; Squamata; Teiidae
Description: lncRNA (ENSSMRG00000015281.1)
Source: RNAcentral
UGUUGCCAGAGGUAAGUCAAAGUUACCUUUUACCAGGGGGUCCACAAGGGCUUCGGGUCACAGCAGCAGCAGCACGGUAGGUGCGAAUGGGCCAGAGGGGGCCAAAAACGGCCUCCGUUCCCCGUCUGUCCCUAGGACAGACUCCGACUUGAAAGCGUGACCUGGUUUCUCGUCGUUUACACCACUGUUAGUGUUUUUACUCUUGCUUUUAACUUUUAAAAAAGAAAAUGCUCCAAGAUUGUUUAUGGAAAGGGUUACAAAAUGCUUAAAUAACAACUACAACAUUCUUAACACCUAUUUCUUGUCAGGCAGGUGCGACCUUGCGACGGCACGUGCUUAGGUUGCCCUGAUCUGGCAGGACCCAAAUACUUCUACGUACCACUGGGUGAUUCGGAUUCCUGCCUGGAGCAGGUGCUUGUCCUCGGCUUGUCCUUGAAGAUCCCGCAAUUCUGUGAAUCUUUGAUUGGUCAGUUAAUACUGGGAAGAUACUUCAAGCACCUGGGAAUAGGGCGCCUGCCAGAAACACACUGACUGGCUGCUUUUCUNUCCUUCUUUCCCUCCUCCGAGUGGUUCCGUUCUGUAAGAUGUACGGAGGGAAGUCCCCAACGCUAAAUUAAACUCCAACGCUUCUCUGCCCUCCCUCUGACACAAGAGCCGGGUUGUUGCUCCGUCCAUCAGAGAAAGGAGCGAGAUGUACGCAGGCAAAGACAUCUCCGGCCUCCUCUGGCCCAAAUUCAGACCAGAAACAGGGCGAGUGCCAAGGAGCACGCUGCAACCAUCCACAGGGCGGCUGCCUGUCNCAGUCUGCCUUGGGAGCCCGAGAAACAAAAGUUCCCUGCCUCUGAAGCUGCGGGACGUGGGGGUUUUAGCGGCACACAGGGGAAGCAUUUCUGUGGGGCUGUUUCCAGAGCCUGGGGAAACGGGGCAGCGUCCCACGGACGCCACAGGCCGCUCCAGCAUCCAUGUGGCGAUGGGUGGAGCAUUGCGAGGCCUGGGAACCCUUGGGAGAUCACCUGGAAGCGCCCUCCCUUUCGGGCACGUCCUGGGGAGCGUCGCGUUCCAUGCGCAAGGACGCGUGGCCAGAGCGCUCCCUGGGAGGCGAGGCGAGGCGAGGCGAGGCGAGGCCGUGCUCCAGGACUCUCCCUCCAGAAGAAGCAGGGCGUAGAACUUUGCGCGGACGGCUCAAAGCCAGAGAGUCACUUGCUCCUUCCUGUGCGGCUCUGUGGGAGCUGCUAGUACAGUUCAGGAAUGCAACACGUCGGGCAUCUCCGCUCGGCCCCCUCCCACCCUCUCACCUCCGCAUCCCCGCGCCAUUAGGAAGCGCCGCGCUGCGUGUGAACUCCAGGGAGCUCCACGUGCGGCCCAAGGGAGCGGAGGCAGCUGCUCGGGGGCGCCUGUCCUCCCCAGUCCCUCCCAGGCACAAUGUCCACUGGCCACCACUGAUCCUCAAAGAAAGAAGCAGGAACGUUCAAGGCCAGAAUGGGGCCUCUUGGCUGCUUGGAGCACCUGGUCCUACUGAACGGGGAGCUGCAGAACCACUCGGUGAGCAUCCAGCACGGUGGUGUGGAAGCACAAUAGGGGUAAGGCCGGGUCAUCGCUGCCUCCCCUGGNCCUGGCCGGGCAGUGAUCUUAGCUAGGUCGGGAUGCCUGGGCGAAGACCCUCUCGCUUUAUAACAAGGCUGGAGUCCUACGCUUCGAAGAAUUUGCUUGCAUCCAAGCAAAAUAUGUUCCCAUGCUGCAACCUACACUAAGGAUGAGCUUCAGCCAGCUGCUAAUGUUUUUUUUCCAUUUUUUUUCAUAUUUGCCCAAGGACACUUCACAACAUGCCAGAUUGACCCUUAUAUGCACACUGAUGAGGCCGGUAAGGGAAGUUAUAAACAUACCAAGAAAGCAGAGAAGAACAGAAUGAGCAAAACGAAGCAUUAGAGGGCUAAGGAAGUUCUAAUUUAGAUAAAGCGCACAAAAAUAUUGUCUGUUGAAUUACGUGCUGCUCCUGACCACUGUGUUAUUAUGCCACAUAAUCUAGGCCCUNCAGAUNUUCCUGGACUACGAGUCCCAGCAUUCUGUGCCAGUCCUACAAAUGGAAUGCUGGACGUUGCAGUCCAGGAACAACCCCCAGUUGAAGACUCCUCUUUAGGCCAGUGGGUUUCAUGCUGUGGCCUUCCGAAGGUUCCCAGCAUGCUUUGCGAGCCCCAGCAGUGCUGGGAGUUGUUCAGGGACAUCUGGAGGCCUGNNGUUUGGGAGCCACUGGCCGAGGCCACAGCGGGGUCACCAAGAUGGGGCGAAGGAGAAGAGGAGCCUNGUGAGACUAGCAGCCGAGCCAACCGGAGGAAGAGACGGGAAAGCAAAGGCAUUCAGACGCCCUCAUGACACAAAGAAGUCAAAGCACCAAAGCAGGCACCAGAGCUGGAAGGACGAAGGAGAAGCAAUGGUGUGUUUGUGUUUGCACAGAAAGGCUGGAAAACUUCAGAGCCAAAANGGAUGAACUGAGGCGCUUGAUCACAAGCAGGGGAGAGACGCAGCUGGCAUAGCAGAGACCUGGCAGGAACGCAAGGACCGGUGGGUGCAGUCAUCACUGGGUGCCGCCUGAAUGGGGAAGGCAGCCAAGCGUGCCCUGGAGACGGUAUCAUCCUGUGU